GAUGAACGCUGGCGGCGUGCCUAAUACAUGCAAGUCGAGCGAAAAGACGAGGAGCUUGCUCCUCUGACGUUAGCGGCGGACGUGUGAGUAACACGUGGAUAACCUACCUAUAAGACUGAGAUAACUUCGGGACACCGGAGCUUAUACCGGAUAAUAUAUUGCACCACAUGGUGCAAUAGUAAGAGACGGCUGUUGUGGCGGGUAUGGAUGGAUCCGGGCCGGAUGAGCUAGUUGGUGGGGGAUGGGCUUACGAAGGCUAUGAUGCGUAGCCGGCCUGAGAGGGGGAGCGGCCACAUGGGGACUGAGGUACGGACCAGACUCCUACGGGAGGCAGAAGUGGGGAAUAUUGCACAAUGGGCGGAAGCCUGAUGCAACAACGCCGGGUGCGGAAUGACGGCUGUCGGGUUGUAAACCGCUUUCGCCUGUGACGAAGCGUGCGUGACGGUAAUGGGUAAAGAAGAACCGGCUAACUACGUG
RNAcentral lists this ribosomal RNA (477 nucleotides) under uncultured bacterium. RNAcentral's name for it is "partial 16S ribosomal RNA". It matches the Rfam family "Bacterial small subunit ribosomal RNA", at positions 28 to 507 of the family's 1533-position model. The record is from RNAcentral.